UUUUGUCCCAAAGGGUUUUCCUUGGUGAGGUUUUUAAUGAGGAAGUUCUUCAAGGUUCCAAGCUUGACUUAGGAUCAGCUAAAGUCAAGCUUGAGGGGGAGUGUUAACUUGAAGAGAAGAAGUGGAGAAGCAAAAGUGAUGAGUUGAGUUGGUGCUUGUGCAAAGACAUGGCAAGAUCUUCAGAGAUUGUAUGUUAAGGCUUUGGGAGAGUCUUAAGGCUUCA
This 223-nucleotide long non-coding RNA is filed under the name Brassica rapa (field mustard). RNAcentral's name for it is "long non-coding RNA (BRAP_LNC008170)". The record is from RNAcentral. Lineage: Eukaryota; Viridiplantae; Streptophyta; Magnoliopsida; Brassicales; Brassicaceae.